This 1865-nucleotide ribosomal RNA is filed under the name Candidatus Scatoplasma merdavium. Its description in RNAcentral is "partial 23S ribosomal RNA". It matches the Rfam family "Bacterial large subunit ribosomal RNA", at positions 1 to 1897 of the family's 2925-position model. Lineage: Bacteria; Bacillati; Bacillota; Bacilli; Caryophanales. The record is from RNAcentral.
AGAUAAGUUACUAAGGGCGUACAGUGGAUGCCUUGGCACAGAAAGACGAUGAAGGACGUGGCUACCUGCGAUAAGCUGCGGCGAGAUGGAUGCAAUCUUUGACCCGCGGAUGUCCGAAUGGGGAAACCCGAUGAGCGAUUCAGCUCAUCAUCAGCAUCUGAACACAUAGGGUGUUGAAGGUAACCUGGGGAAUUGAAACAUCUUAGUACCCAGAGGAAAAGAAAGUGAAUACGAUUCCGUUAGUAGUGGCGAGCGAAAGCGGAGGAGCCUAAACCGGGCGUAAGUCCGGGGUUCGGGCCUGAGCUGUGAAGGCGAGUUUAAGUCGAACUACCUGGAAAGGUAGACCGUAGAGUGUGAAAGUCACGUAGACGUAAAGACGUAGUCUUCUAUUAGGUACCAGAGUAGGGCGGGACACGUGGAAUCCUGUCUGAAGGCGUGGGGACCAUCCCAUAAGGCUAAAUACUCUUCUGUGACCGAUAGUGAACCAGUACCGUGGGGGAAAGGUGAAAAGUACCCCGAGAGGGGGGUGAAAAGAACCUGAAACCGUAUGCCUACAAUAAGACAGAGGGCGUCAAAGCCUGAUGUCGUGCCUAUUGAAGAAUGAGCCGGCGAGUUAUGUUAGCACGCGAGGUUAAACGAAAAGUGGAGCCGCAGCGAAAGCGAGUCUUAAUAGGGCGCAAGUGUGCUGAUGUAGACCCGAAACCCGACGAUCUAGCCAUGACCAGGAUGAAGCAGGGGUGACACCCUGUGGAGGUCCGAACCGACGUUCGUUGAAACGCCCGCGGAUGAGUUGUGGCUCGUGGUGAAAUUCCAAUCGAGUUGGGUAAUAGCUGGUUCUCCUCGAAAUAGUUUUAGGACUAGCCUCGGACAUUGCUUGAGCGGAGGUAGAGCACUGAAUGAGAUUCGGGUCGCACCUAGCGAUACCGAUCUCGAUUAAACUCCGAAUGCCGUUUCAAGAAGUCCGGGAGUCAGACUGCGGGAGAUAAGUUCCAUGGUCAAAAGGGCAACAGCCCAGACCGCCAACUAAGGCCCCAAAGUGUACGCUGAGUGUUAAAGGAUGUGGAGAAGCAUAAACAGCUAGGAUGUUGGCUCAGAGGCAGCCACCAUUUAAAGAAUGCGUAACAGCUCACUAGUCAAGUUUCUCUGCGCCGAAAAUUUACCGGGGCUAAGCGUACCGCCGAAGUUGCGGAUUCGCAGCAAUGCGAGUGGUAGGGGAGCGUUCUGCACGCGCUGAAGUUUGAGCGUGAGCGCAGGUGGAGUGUGCAGAAGUGAGAAUGCCGGCGUAAGUAACGAUAAAGGGUGAGAAUCCCUUUCACUAUUAGACUAAGGUUUCCAGGGCAAGGUUCGUCCUCCCUGGGUUAGUCGGGACCUAAGGCGAGGCUGAAAGGCGUAGUCGAUGGACAGCAGGUUGAUAUUCCUGCACCCGGGCGAGAGUGACGCGGUGACGAAGGGGGACUAGGGCGCGGACUGCUGGAAUAGUCCGUUCAUAGCGAGUACCUGAGACGGUGUUAAGUACAUCGUUUCGUUAGGGGAAACGCCUUGGGUAGGAAAGCAGCGAUGCGAGUACGAAAGUCCGAAUUCCCGCUUCCGAGAAAAGCCGCUAACUUAAUCUCGUUUCGGCCCGUACCGAGAACGGACACACGUGGUCAAGGAGAAUAUCCUAAGGUGAGCGAGAUAACUGUUGCUAAGGAACUCUGCAAAAUAGCUUCGUAAGUUAGCAAGAAGAAGUACUCACGCGAGUGAGUCGCAGCGAAUCGGCCCAAGUAACUGUUUACCAAAAACAUAGCUAUAUGCUAAGGCGCAAGCCGAUGUAUAUGUGGUGAUGCUUGCCCGGUGCUGGAAGGUUAAAAGGAGGAGUUAGGAGC